CUACGGGGUGCACCAGUGGGGAAUAUUGCACAAUGGGCGCAAGCCUGAUGCAGCCAUGCCGCGUGUAUGAAGAAGGCCUUCGGGUUGUAAAGUACUUUCAGCGGGGAGGAAGGGAGUAAAGUUAAUACCUUUGCUCAUUGACGUUACCCGCAGAAGAAGCACCGGCUAACUCCGUGCCAGCAGCCGCGGAAUACGGAGGGUGCAAGCGUUAAUCGGAAUUACUGGGCGUAAAGCGCACGCAGGCGGUUUGUUAAGUCAGAUGUGAAAUCCCCGGGCUCAACCUGGGAACUGCAUCUGAGACUGGCAAGCUUGAGUCUCGUAGAGGGGGGUAGAAUUCCAGGUGUAGCGGUGAAAUGCGUAGAGAUCUGGAGGAAUACCGGUGGCGAAGGCGGCCCCCUGGACGAAGACUGACGCUCAGGUGCGAAAGCGUGGGGAGCAAACAGGAUUAGAUACCCCUGUAGUC
This 463-nucleotide ribosomal RNA is filed under the name uncultured bacterium. RNAcentral describes it as "partial 16S ribosomal RNA". It matches the Rfam family "Bacterial small subunit ribosomal RNA", at positions 339 to 795 of the family's 1533-position model. The record is from RNAcentral.